UACGUAGGGGGCAAGCGUUGUCCGGAAUCAUUGGGCGUAAAGCGCGCGUAGGCGGCCCGGUAAGUCCGUUGUGAAAGUCAAAGGCUCAACCUUUGAACGCUGAUGGAUACUGCCGGGCUAGAGUCCGGAAGAGGCGAGUGGAAUUCCUGGUGUAGCGGUGAAAUGCGCAGAUAUCAGGAGGAACACCAAUGGCGAAGGCAGCUCGCUGGGACGGUACUGACGCUGAGGCGCGAAAGCGUGGGGAGCAAACAGG
This 253-nucleotide ribosomal RNA is filed under the name uncultured bacterium. RNAcentral's name for it is "partial 16S ribosomal RNA". It matches the Rfam family "Bacterial small subunit ribosomal RNA", at positions 524 to 776 of the family's 1533-position model. The record is from RNAcentral.